RNAcentral lists this ribosomal RNA (484 nucleotides) under uncultured bacterium. RNAcentral's name for it is "partial 16S ribosomal RNA". It matches the Rfam family "Bacterial small subunit ribosomal RNA", at positions 30 to 507 of the family's 1533-position model. The record is from RNAcentral.
AUUGAACGCUGGCGGCAGGCCGAACACAGGCAAGUCGAGCGGAGGAAGGGAGCUUGCUCCUGGAUUCAGCGGCGGACGGGUGAGUAAUGCCUAGGAAUCUGCCUGGUAGUGGGGGAUAACGUCCGGAAACGGGCGCUAAUACCGCAUACGUCCUGAGGGAGAAAGUGGGGGAUCUUCGGACCUCACGCUAUCAGAUGAGCCUAGGUCGGAUUAGCUAGUUGGUGGGGUAAAGGCCUACCAAGGCGACGAUCCGUAACUGGCCUGAGAGGAUGAUCAGUCACACUGCAACUGAGCCACCGUCCAGACUCCUACGGGAGGCAGCAGUGGGGAAUAUUGGACCAUGGUCGAAAGCCUGAUCCAGCCAUGCCGCGUGUGUGCAGCAGGUCUUCGGAUUGUAACGCACUUUCCGUUGGGAGGAAGGGCAGUAAGUUAAUACCUUGCUGUUUUGACGUUACCAACAGAAUAAGCACCGGCUACCUUCGUG